This 326-nucleotide ribosomal RNA is filed under the name Thalassiosira minuscula. RNAcentral's name for it is "partial Bacterial small subunit ribosomal RNA". It matches the Rfam family "Bacterial small subunit ribosomal RNA", at positions 1069 to 1393 of the family's 1533-position model. The record is from RNAcentral. Lineage: Eukaryota; Bacillariophyta; Thalassiosirophyceae; Thalassiosirales; Thalassiosiraceae.
GAGAUGUUGGGUUAAGUCCCGCAACGAGCGCAACCCUCAUCCUUAGUUGCCAUCACGUUUGGGUGGGCACUCUAGGGAAACUGCCGGUGCUAAGCCGGAGGAAGGCGGGGAUGACGUCAAGUCAGCAUGGCCCUUACGUCCUGGGCUACACGCACGCUACAAUGGGUGGGACAACGGGUAGCCAAGCCGCGAGGCGGAGCGAAUCCCCUAAACCCAUCCUCAGUUCAGAUUGUGGGCUGCAACUCGCCCGCAUGAAGUCGGAGUCGCUAGUAACCGCCGGUCAGCAGUACGGCGGUGAAUACGUUCCCGGGCCUUGUACACACCGC